This 504-nucleotide long non-coding RNA is filed under the name Mus caroli (Ryukyu mouse). RNAcentral's name for it is "POU domain, class 3, transcription factor 3 adjacent noncoding transcript 1 (MGP_CAROLIEiJ_G0004361.1)". Lineage: Eukaryota; Metazoa; Chordata; Mammalia; Rodentia; Muridae. The record is from RNAcentral.
GAUGGGAUUUUCUCAUCUACUGCUCCAGUUCACAUACUGCGAGGUACUAGCUUUGAUAAGAUCUGGUUUUCUGGGGGAAAAAAAAGGAGAAGGAACUAGGUGAAUAUUGCCCUGGGUCCUGGUAAUUCUACCUACUGAAGACAAAAGCCCCUUCUGCUCAUAUUUCCUGAGUCAACAUGGCCGUUCCUAACUUUGAAGAGACUUUAGACAUUCUUUGUUACAAUGAGCCCAGAAGAAAGAAGAGAAAUAAUAACUGCCAUGGAAGGAUGCUCCUCCUGCCAAUUGGCACUUAUCAAUGACAUCGAGGGAGAGGGACAGAGUGCCUAGGUAUGAGCCUUCAUCAAGUAGUAUGAAGGCCCUACCCCAACAGAAAGUGCUGAUGUGAAGAAGUGAUGCUUUGGACAAGACUUUUCCUCCAAGUUGGUCCUAUCCAGAGGUUGGCAAACAGGGUCCCUGGACAUCAUCCCUGUUGUGUACUAUUAUGAAUAAAGUUCUAUAGGACAC